This 207-nucleotide ribosomal RNA is filed under the name uncultured bacterium. RNAcentral's name for it is "partial 16S ribosomal RNA". It matches the Rfam family "Bacterial small subunit ribosomal RNA", at positions 568 to 774 of the family's 1533-position model. The record is from RNAcentral.
CGCGUAGGUGGUUUGGUCAGUCAGAUGUGAAAGCCCCGGGCUUAACCUGGGAACUGCAUUUGAUACUGCCAGACUAGAGUAUGGUAGAGGGAAGUGGAAUUCCGGGUGUAGCGGUGAAAUGCGUAGAUAUCCGGAGGAACAUCAGUGGCGAAGGCGGCUUCCUGGACCAAUACUGACACUGAGGUGCGAAAGCGUGGGUAGCAAACA